This 172-nucleotide ribosomal RNA is filed under the name Actinospica acidiphila. RNAcentral describes it as "partial 16S ribosomal RNA". It matches the Rfam family "Bacterial small subunit ribosomal RNA", at positions 1 to 173 of the family's 1533-position model. Lineage: Bacteria; Bacillati; Actinomycetota; Actinomycetes; Catenulisporales; Actinospicaceae. The record is from RNAcentral.
CAUUCACGGAGAGUUUGAUCCUGGCUCAGGACGAACGCUGGCGGCGUGCUUAACACAUGCAAGUCGAACGAUGAACCACUUCGGUGGGGAUUAGUGGCGAACGGGUGAGUAACACGUGGGCAAUCUGCCCUGCACUCUGGGACAAGCCCUGGAAACGGGGUCUAAUACCGGA